This 468-nucleotide ribosomal RNA is filed under the name uncultured bacterium. RNAcentral describes it as "partial 16S ribosomal RNA". It matches the Rfam family "Bacterial small subunit ribosomal RNA", at positions 28 to 507 of the family's 1533-position model. The record is from RNAcentral.
GACGAACGCUGGCGGCGUGCUUAACACAUGCCAGUCGAACGGAAAGGCCCUGCUUUUGUGGGGUGCUCGAGUGGCGAACGGGUGAGUAACACGUGAGUAACCUGCCCUUGACUUUGGGAUAACUUCAGGAAACUGGGGCUAAUACCGGAUAGGAGCUCCUGCUGCAUGGUGGGGGUUGGAAAGUUUCGGCGGUUGGGGAUGGACUCGCGGCUUAUCAGCUUGUUGGUGGGGUAGUGGCUUACCAAGGCUUUGACGGGUAGCCGGCCUGAGAGGGUGACCGGCCAUAUUGGGACUGAGAUACGGCCCAGACUCCUACGGGAGGCAGCAGUGGGGAAUAUUGCACAAUGGGCGGAAGCCUGAUGCAGCAACGCCGCGUGCGGGAUGACGGCCUUCGGGUUGUAAACCGCUUUCGCCUGUGACGAAGCGUGAGUGACGGUAAUGGGUAAAGAAGCACCGGCUAACUACGUG